Molecule: long non-coding RNA, 309 nt
Organism: Cyprinodon tularosa
Lineage: Eukaryota; Metazoa; Chordata; Actinopteri; Cyprinodontiformes; Cyprinodontidae
Exons: 3
Source: RefSeq, a predicted model, not a curated record
GGUGGUGACAGAGCAAAGGAAGAAAGGAGAGAGGGAGAGGGGAGCAGAUACUUGGGAACACAUCAGAGCAGGACAGACAGUUGAGUGUGAGGCGCUCAGCCGGCGAAGGACGCGGAGCAGGAAGGUGCAGGCGAUGUCGUGGGUUUCGUUUGUGGGUUCAGGGUGCAGGAUGACGGCUGCUAAGCUCCUCGUUCCUUUCCUUGUUCUCCAAUCAUUUUGUGAAGGCUCCAAUCAGCCACCACGCUUCCUGAACUACUUUUUUUCAACAUAUCUCCUCAUAUAUGAAGACAUGCCCAUUGGUGAGUCAGU